This 73-nucleotide transfer RNA is filed under the name Otolemur garnettii (small-eared galago). It matches the Rfam family "tRNA". From Rfam's summary of the family: Transfer RNA (tRNA) molecules are approximately 80 nucleotides in length. Their secondary structure includes four short double-helical elements and three loops (D, anti-codon, and T loops). Lineage: Eukaryota; Metazoa; Chordata; Mammalia; Primates; Galagidae. The record is from Rfam by way of RNAcentral.
GUACCCGUAGCUCAGUGGGUAGAGCGCUGGCCACAUACACCCAGACUAGCGGGUUCGAAUCCUGCCAGGGCCA